GUGGGGAAUAUUGGACAAUGGGGGGAACCCUGAUCCAGCCAUGCCGCGUGUGUGAAGAAGGCCUUUUGGUUGUAAAGCACUUUAAGCGAGGAGGAGGCUACCGAGAUUAAUACUCUUGGAUAGUGGACGUUACUCGCAGAAUAAGCACCGGCUAACUCUGUGCCAGCAGCCGCGGUAAUACAGAGGGUGCAAGCGUUAAUCGGAUUUACUGGGCGUAAAGCGCGCGUAGGUGGCCAAUUAAGUCAAAUGUGAAAUCCCCGAGCUUAACUUGGGAAUUGCAUUCGAUACUGGUUGGCUAGAGUAUGGGAGAGGAUGGUAGAAUUCCAGGUGUAGCGGUGAAAUGCGUAGAGAUCUGGAGGAAUACCGAUGGCGAAGGCAGCCAUCUGGCCUAAUACUGACACUGAGGUGCGAAAGCAUGGGGAGCAAACAGGAUUAGAUACCCGUGUAGGCC
This 451-nucleotide ribosomal RNA is filed under the name uncultured bacterium. RNAcentral describes it as "partial 16S ribosomal RNA". It matches the Rfam family "Bacterial small subunit ribosomal RNA", at positions 354 to 796 of the family's 1533-position model. The record is from RNAcentral.